UGUGAAAAUUUGUUUUCUGAAAAACUUGCAAUUUGUUUAAAUGUCGAGACGAUUAAAUUUAGGUCGGCGAACGCGAAAUUCGUUUCAAGUUGUGGCUUCAAGGAGCCGUGAAAGUAGCCAAGACAUUACACAUCGCAAUGAAAAUAAUCGUCUACGCCCAGCAAAGUCCCGUUCAAAUCAACGGAACAAUGAUGCAACAACAACUGCAAAUGAGCGUCGUGAUAUUCAAAAUCUACAAGGUGUUGCGUUCGCGUACAGUAGUGUCACCGAUUACGCUUCUCAUAGGCAAAUUAUAAUUGGUACAAUGAACGACCGUUGUCGCCAUUGUCAGGCAUUAAAAUUUAAAGGUGAAGCAGAUGGGAUGUGCUGUGCGAGUGGUAAAGUGAAAUUGCCUUAAUUGGGCAGCCCACCACAACCAUUGAGCACAUUACUUAAUGGAUUGACACCUGAGUCUAAUCAUUUUUUGAACAAUAUACGAAAGUAUAAUUCGAGUGUCGUAGGUUGGAUAAGUAAUUAUAUUGUUUAUUGAAUAAAGAAUUAGAACGGA
This is a long non-coding RNA of Drosophila obscura, 547 nucleotides long. RefSeq lists it as uncharacterized. The transcript has 2 exons. Lineage: Eukaryota; Metazoa; Arthropoda; Insecta; Diptera; Drosophilidae. The record is from RefSeq and is a predicted model, not a curated record.